Molecule: ribosomal RNA, 280 nt
Filed under: Escherichia coli
Lineage: Bacteria; Pseudomonadati; Pseudomonadota; Gammaproteobacteria; Enterobacterales; Enterobacteriaceae
Description: partial 16S ribosomal RNA
Rfam family: Bacterial small subunit ribosomal RNA
Source: RNAcentral
UAGAGAUCUGGAGGAAUACCGGUGGCGAAGGCGGCCCCCUGGACGAAGACUGACGCUCAGGUGCGAAAGCGUGGGGAGCAAACAGGAUUAGAUACCCUGGUAGUCCACGCCGUAAACGAUGUCGACUUGGAGGUUGUGCCCUUGAGGCGUGGCUUCCGGAGCUAACGCGUUAAGUCGACCGCCUGGGGAGUACGGCCGCAAGGUUAAAACUCAAAUGAAUUGACGGGGGCCCGCACAAGCGGUGGAGCAUGUGGUUUAAUUCGAUGCAACGCGAAGAACC